CUCAAAUGACAAAAAGGGGUCCGAGUACUGAUGUUCGUCUAAACCCAAAAGCAAGAAUGCAAGUUGCAACAUUCCAUGUACAGCAUCGGUCUUGGCCAUUUAAUUUUGCAAAUGUGCUAGGUAAAAUGGAGAAUCCUCUUCCUAGAGCUGGAAUCUUUCAAACUGUGAAUUUCUCUAUAAUUGUUUUUUCAAAAGUAACAUCCUUGAACUCGUUAACUUGGAAAUAAUGCCAAACUAUCAAAUAGUCAGAAAAACUCAAAUCUUUAACCACAAUUUCACCUUCAAAUCAAUGUUGAAAUUCAUAUAUUAAAGUUUCAAACAAGCACACAGACACACCCACACACCCACACACACCCUCCCAAUCUAACUUUGGGGACGUGGGGAUGUUCGGGAUAAAAAACUGUUUUCAUUCCCCUUUAACUCCUGAACAAAUAUAAUUAUGCCAGUCCGUAGACCAAAAUGAUUGUUAAAAUAAGCCCCAUAUCUUAGCCCUUGCCUUUCUGAGGAUUUCAUAAUAGGAUGACAGAACAUUUGAUCAAACAGGAGAAAAGUGGGAAAUAACUUAAAUUAGGGAGAAAAGCUCCCUAAUUUGAAUACAAAUGUCAGAUAUAAGUUGGUAAUGAUCAGCAGUCAGCUGUAGAACUUGAUAGAAACUUAGCUAAGCCAUUCCUCAGCCCUUCCAUUGGCCCUUGUGAUUGUAUCCUAACCCAUUUUCCUCCAUAGCAUUUCUUUUCCCCAUGAUCUUUCCAAAGAAUUCACCUAUAGAUCUCAAUUCUCUCUCGCCAUGCUAAGAUUAUCUUUCUUACUACCAAUUCCUUCUAGGCUCCAUCAUUUCUUUCCUAACGUCUUCUGAUUCGACUUUGAGACAACCCAGCACUGUGGAAUCUUUGCUGCGACUUCUCCAAUGGACAGAUGUUCCGUUCCAUCCUCUUAACGAGGUUUCCACCCAAACAUAUCGGAAUAAGUGGUUGCAGGCAAGCAAAGCAUAUGAUGGUGCCCCUGUGGUUUUCAGAUGGCUCAGCAGAUGUAUUUGGUUCAAGAUUGGAGGGGGGGUGGCAGACAUACAGUUUGGCCAGUGAGGUGAGUGGCUGUGGCAGACUGCAUGAUGGGUCGAAACCCUUCUUCUCAGACUCUUCCAUGAGAUGCUGGAAGUCUUGAAUAGGAAAGCAAGGAAUCAGGAUCUCAGAGGCUAAGUUCUGCGCCUUAUUUACAGGAAUCAUAACCUGUUGUCCUGACUUUUCCCAAAAAGGAGCAUUUACUAAACAACAAUGGCAUUUCUUCGGGCAGGCUAUGAAACAAAGUGAGGCAAAAGGAUACAGAAUGUUACCGCCUUUGGGAUCCCAUGCAAUCUAGUGAAGAUACUGCACAAACUGUGGAGAGUUCAGCGGUUCCUCAGCUGCAGCCCACACCUUUCUCUGCUUCUACUAACUCUUCUUGCCCCUUUUAAUGAGAUGGCCAAAGAGAAACACCCCUUCCUUAAUGCUGCAGAUGCCAAGAACCAGCCCCAUGGCCUGGGACAAACCUCCUGCCCAAACCCCUUGUUUCUGGGUCUUGUCCUCACUGCUGUCAAAUGAUAGCUAAACCCCAGCAUGGAGGCAUGCUGUGUUGCUGUCCUCCCAAGGAACAGCUUUUGCACCCAUGCUCUUCCACCUCAGCUGCCUCUUUACCAAAUUCAACAUGACAUUCCAAAUCAAUAAAAUGUCACUUUUAUUUUGAAGCUAAGUUUCA
Long non-coding RNA from Monodelphis domestica (gray short-tailed opossum), 1728 nucleotides. The record is from Ensembl. NCBI's taxonomy places the organism in Eukaryota, Metazoa, Chordata, Mammalia, Didelphimorphia, Didelphidae.